Molecule: unclassified non-coding RNA, 301 nt
Filed under: plant metagenome
Description: partial contains small subunit ribosomal RNA, internal transcribed spacer 1, and 5.8S ribosomal RNA
Source: RNAcentral
UUUCCGUAGGUGAACCUGCAGAAGGAUCAUUAUCGAAUUGUAAUAGGGGUUGAUGCUGGCAAGCUAAAUUUUUUUUUUUGGGUUGCACAUGUGCUCACUCCUAACAAUCUCUAUCUCGAACACCCAUGCACCUUUUUGAGAGGGGUUUUCUAAGCAUGUUGCUGCUUUUUUGCAGUUCUUGCUUUUUUUUUUUAACCCCCCUCUUCCCUUACAUAUACACUGUUUUCAAUGUUGAACAUGAAUUGUGCCAGUAAAAGGCCAUAAUAAAAUACAACUUUUAACAAUGGAUCUCUUGGCUCUC